GACGAACGCUGGCGGCGUGCUUAACACAUGCAAGUCGAACGGAAAGGCCUGCUUUCCCUUGUGGAUUGCGGGUACUCGAGUGGCGAACGGGUGAGUAACACGUGAGUGAUCUGCCCCCAACUUGGGUAUAAGCCUGGGAAACUGGGUCUAAUUCCCGAUAGGACUGCAGGGUGGUGCCUGUGGUGGAAAACGAUUUUCUAGUGGUUGGGGAUGAGCUCGCGGCCUAUCAGCUUGUUGGUGGGGUAAUGGACUACCAAGGCGGCGACGGGGAGCCGGCCUGAGAUGGUGGACGGCCACAUUGGGACUGGGACACGGCCCAGACGCCUACGGGAAGCAGCAGUGGGGAAUAUAUGACAAUGAGCGGAAGCCUGAUGCAGCGACGCCGCGUGGGGGAUGACGGCCUUCGGGUUGUAAACUCCUUUCGACCGCGAGGAAGCCACCUGGUUGGAAGGGUGGUGACGGUAGUGGUAGAAGAAGCACCGGCUAACUACGUG
Molecule: ribosomal RNA, 494 nt
Filed under: uncultured bacterium
Lineage: Bacteria
Description: partial 16S ribosomal RNA
Rfam family: Bacterial small subunit ribosomal RNA
Source: RNAcentral